Molecule: ribosomal RNA, 329 nt
Filed under: uncultured soil bacterium
Lineage: Bacteria
Description: bacterial SSU rRNA
Rfam family: Bacterial small subunit ribosomal RNA
Source: RNAcentral
AGAACGAACGCUGGCGGCAUGCCUAAUACAUGCAAGUCGAACGAACACUUCGGUGUUAGUGGCGCACGGGUGCGUAACGCGUGGGAAUCUGCCCUUGGGUUCGGAAUAACAGUUGGAAACGACUGCUAAUACCGGAUGAUGACGAAAGUCCAAAGAUUUAUCGCCCAGGGAUGAGCCCGCGUAGGAUUAGCUAGUUGGUGAGGUAAAGGCUCACCAAGGCGACGAUCCUUAGCUGGUCUGAGAGGAUGAUCAGCCACACUGGGACUGAGACACGGCCCAGACUCCUACGGGAGGCAGCAGUAGGGAAUAGUUGGACAAGUGGGCGCAAG